This 869-nucleotide long non-coding RNA is filed under the name Manihot esculenta (cassava). Its description in RNAcentral is "long non-coding RNA (MESC_LNC008254)". The record is from RNAcentral. Lineage: Eukaryota; Viridiplantae; Streptophyta; Magnoliopsida; Malpighiales; Euphorbiaceae.
GAAAAGUGGAAGUUCCAAAGGGAAAGAAAAUGAAGAGUAGAGAAUUAAAACUUGUAGAAUAUUUUGAAAAUUCUAAGGUUUGUGCUCAACCCCAUUUGAAUAAAUUUAAGAAUUUGUUAAUUAGGUUUUAUUUGAAAUUUUACUAUCCUAGUAGAGGUAGACCAAGUGAAUAAUAGUUUAAUUAUAUUUGUAUAAUCAAAGUUUGAGAAAUAAUAGAUUUAAUAGAUAGAAAAUUUUAAAAUUAAUAUGUAAUUUAAUCAAAAAUUAGGUUAUGGAACAAAUGAAAUGACUUAUAUUAUUGGAUAGAAAUAUAAUUUGGUUAGAUAUAGUGAUAAUGAAAAGAUUAGUAGACUAGAAAAAAAAAUAUAAAAAUAAAAAUAAUAGUUAAUUAAUUAAGAAUUAAAUUAUAAAUAUAAUUUAUGUAGUUGAAUUAAAUUAAUAAACUUACAUGAUACGACAAUGUUUAAAAAUACAGUUGUAAUAUGAUAAAGUAUUAUAGUUGGAAUAACUGAUAGUUACACUGUAUUGAUAGUUUUUGUCCCCCUGUUUAAGUGUAUAAAUUAUUUAAAGUCUGGCCCUAGUAAGUUUGGUGGAAAUUGUGGAGUAGUUUAAGGGUGUGGCAUGCCAUAUAUAGAUCUUACAGUACUGCACUACAGUUACACUGAUUCUUAGGAUACAAUGAGGUAUCCUACAGUUAUAGAAUCGGCUUUUGAGCCAUACAGUUAUUUGGCACCUUGUGCCCUACAGUUACAGUUUCCUUAUCUGACUUAACAGUCCCAUUUAAAUUUAUAGAGGCCAACAAAAAAAUAAUAAAUAAUUAAAAGUAUUAAGAAAAAUAAAACUUUUUACAUGAUGAAGAAAAAAAAAAA